GGGGUUAUAGCUCAGAGGUAGAGCGUCCGCUUCGCAUGCGGAAAGUCCGGGGUUCAAUCCCCCGCAACUCCA
Molecule: non-coding RNA, 72 nt
Organism: Trichuris suis (pig whipworm)
Lineage: Eukaryota; Metazoa; Nematoda; Enoplea; Trichinellida; Trichuridae
Source: Rfam